CCCAGCUAGCUAGUUCAUGCUUGUGGCUAGAAACUUCAGUGAGAAUUUGAAACUUGUCUGCCGAAGUCGGAACUUAUCGGACUACAAAAUCAACAGAUGUGCUUUAGCUGCCUGUCACCCUGGCCUGAUAUUAGCUACAGUAUCAAGUUACUUCCCUCUUAAGUUACUGCAGGACAGCAGUGCUCAGCAGGUGGGAAUCAGGAGCGAAGGACACACUGUGCCCCGUGUUGUUGUGUUGCCUGCUUGCAGGGCAAACGCUCCCCUUUGAGCAGCAGUACUGUGACAUCCAGAUUCUAGAUGGUGAACCAAUACUGCAAGUUAUUUCUCCCUCGCCCAUCAAAAUAAAGACUUUCUUUUACAAGUUUUAACUCGCACCAUGCUAUUGUUGCUGGCUAGCUAAGAACUGUUCGUCAGGACAAUUUACUGAACCAAAUCCAUUCGACAUACAUCAUCAAUUUGGGCACCAGGCAUGUCCAUAUAGCCUCUCCCCUUUAGCUUGGCAGCUGUUUUUAUGUUAACUCCGUUGUUUGCGCUCGACGAAAUUCUGAAACCGGACCAUGUUGUGGAUUCGUAUGACUGGAGGACUCAUUAACUAGCUGGCUACAACAACCUGGAGGUGGCAGAGUAUCUCCAGAAGCAAAGGGCUGACAUUAAUGCACAGGACAAAGGAUGCCUCAUCCAUUUGCACAAUGCUGCCUAAUACAGGGUCCGUCGACUUCGGCUUUUGAAGACGUUUUACAUGCUGUACGGUUUGUAAUAUGGUUUUAUAACAUAGACGAUGCAUACAGAAUUGACACUGAUCUGUUUCUGUCUGACCUGUCUUUGUGAUUGUCUCCACCCCCCUCCAGGUGUCGCCCAUCUUCCCUAUUAUCCCCUGUGUAUUUAUACACGUGUUCUCUGUUAAUCUGUUGCCAGUUUGUCAAGCCAACCAGCCGUUUUGCCUCAGCUCCUGCUUUUCCCAGUUUCUCCUUUUCUUUGACCCAUGCCUGUCCUGACUCGGAGGCCGCUGGCAAGUCAUUAGGUUAAAUCAUAUCCUCUCCCCCUCCUUUCCUCGCUGUCACUUGAGGGAAAAAUUGUAUUCACCUUAUUUGUUGGAUAUGUAACAAUUAUUUACUUAUGUUGUGUUUUAUGGUCUUCCCUCCACUCUAGCACCCUGCAGCUAGUCUGGGUGUUGAGGACAUGGGCUCUACUAGAGAUGGCUUGAAGAUGACAAUUGAUCUUGCACGUGGACAUUGCGGCCCUCCUGAUCAAGUUCAACAAGUGUGUGUGUGAACCCCACAUACAACUGGGCCUUCACCCCUCUCCACGAGGUGGCUCAGAAGGGACGUAAUCUGCUGUGUGCUCUACUGCUGGCCCACAGAACUGACCCUAUCAUGAAGAAGCAGGAGAGACAGACCACCUGACCUGGCCACGAUACCCAUCCUUUCUCUGCUAGUGCUAACAGUAGAUAAAUUAUUGUUACGUACACCUCUCCCUAGAGGGAACGCAACACCCUGCUACAACUCAACUCCCCAUGGAGUGAAAGGGGUAUGGGACUGUAGGUUUGAGUAGGAAUGACAAAGGCAGAGAAUGGUACCGUUUUACAGGGAAUGUAUUCAGUCACAUGGUCAUUUUUGGGAAAAGGGGCUGGAUGGAACCAAAGCGAAGAAAGUAAAUAUCAAAUCCCCCUCUCCUACCUUACCUGCCUACCCACUAGUUAACUUAGCACCACCUGAUGCGCUAACCAAAAUACAAGGGGUGGUCCGCCCAGGUCUUACCUAGUGUGCAAAGACAGUGAAUACGACGGGUUAUGUAUGCCCGCAGGCCUCUUGCCUAAGCACUCCCUAGGUGCCUUCCCCUUCCCCUUCCCCUUCCCCUUCCCCUUCCCCCCUGGGAACAAAUUAAACAGAAUAAUACAAACUACUUCACAACAAAAACUGAGAAAAAACUCAAGACAUUAAAGAAACGCUCUCUCUCUGAGCAACAAACUAACACAUAACAAUCAGCUCUCUCAGCAACAACUAACAGUACAUACCAAAUCUCUUUUUGAGAAACAACCAACAUAUGUUAUAACCCUCAGCUCUCUUCUGAGCAACAGAACACUGGCUUAUAUAGCUGCAGAAGGAGUCUAAUGAGAUAUACCUGUAUCCUGACGAGGGGGCGGGGUCAGCUCUCCAAUCAUCAUUGGGGCCGACCAAUCAGCUGCUUGUGGGAAUUUCAGGAAGCCAUCCUGCAACACACACAUACAAAACCACAACACAGAAACUGGGGAACGUAACAAAGAUGUUAAAUGAAAAGUGUUACUAUCAGUAUUAUAUGUUGAUUUUCAACAUAAACAAGAGCUGUCAUUAGUUUUUUGUUCAAAAUGGAAAAUGGUAGACAUAGUGAAUGUAUGCAUGUGUUAUAUUUUUCUAGUUACACAACUGUCUGACAAGGACGUAGUCUGUUCAUAAUAAUUCCCAUCAAAUAUAUUUUGACACACAUGGCUGGGGAAACCCCUUAUCACCCAGUAACUCUCCCUCUGACCACAUCCUCCUCCUUCCUCAGGCUGAUGAUAUCCGUACCCUGUUGAUGUACACAAUGCCCUCAGACGCAGAGAAGAGAGAUCACCAGUUCAUCAAACUGUCCAUUCUCGGGACAACAUACAUUGCUCGAUCAGUACAUACAUUGCUCGAUUGGUACUUGAUUGGCCCAUUUGCCACCUAGCCAAACAGACUGAUAUUUUAAUGCAGAAAUGACCUAUUGUAUUUUAACAUUUUGUGUGUAUUUCUUAGCUCGCAAGCUAGUGGCGGGCUGUUCUGAGGUUCAAGCAGUUUAAUUGUUUUUAAUAUCUGCUUAUAAUCAGUUAUCAGUUAAUACACAUGAAAAGAUUAGCUGUGGAAUUUUCCACUCCAUUAGGAUAUUAUUGUCUUGUAACUCAUGUGAAGUGGAGUGCCUCCUCCACCAGUCCUUUAGGGUUGCAAUGUUAAAUGUAAAACUCUAUUCUCUUAUAAGCUGAGGUGAACCAACAGACAGUAGACCAGCAGCAGUCAGUAUGUAACCUGACACAACUGGAGGUCAUGAUGGUAUUUGUUUAGAACAAGAAAGAAAACAAGUAGUUGGCUACUACGAUGCAGAAAACUAUAUAUUUACAGUGGCUCCAGUUCCAAACACAGUAGUUAAGUGCCACUGGAGGUCUUUAUGGUGUUGAAGAACUCUUGGAAGUGAUCCAGGCUGAGCUUGUGGGUGAGCUUGUUGUUCAGUAGGUGGAGGAGCUGGGCUGUACCAGGCUGUGGUUUGAGCUUGACGAGGCCCUCCCAGCGAGGACACGUAGUCUUAUGCCUCAAACAGGAAGGAGUAGAGUACACAGUAUUCAUCAUGGAAAUUACUUGGGUGCCAUAUAUACGGAACUGGGUGGAGUCUUAUGCAACUGUGUUGACUCCACAGAGCUAAUGUUUCAAUACAGAAGAAAACAAGGGAGGAGAACUAUUAAUUGCCUUAUCGCUUUACAACUUAGGCCCAUAACCUAUAGUUAAUUAUAUUGGUUUUGAGUACCACCUUGGCUCAUAUAUCCAGCAGGGCCCUUUCUGAAAUGAGAUGGGAUAAAACUAUUGGUUGUUUUAGCGGUGUAAUGGCUCAAACUGUAUUAUCCCCAGAUGUUCAUUUUGUUACAUGUAGGGCUAACAUAAUACAGAAUAAUUGAGUUGUUUAUUGCACCGCUCUCUGCUUGACACACUGCAAAGUGGGUCAACUAUUGUAUUCAUCACCUUUGAUUUGAUAUAUGAAAAUGUCUCAAUUUUUUUAUUUGUUUAGUUUUGUCAGGUGUACCUCAGUUGGUUGAACAUGUUGCUAGCAAUGCCAGAGUUGUGGGUUUGAGUCCGGCCUGGACAGUAUACCAGAUUUAGCUGGGCUUCUCCUCAAUUACUCUGCAGCGCCAGUCGAGGGCUUGCAGGUGGAGCAAGAUUAACAAAACACGGCUAUUGUGAACAAUGUGCUGGCCAUAUUUGUUUGAGCUUUGGGUGGGCACUGGAUUAGGCAUCCUCACAUAAAACAAAACACGAUAGCCCUGGCCUAUUCCUGCGUGACAGAGUUCAUCACACCCCGUUGGGAAAGUGUUUUUUAGAUGCCAUACACUAUUGUCUUUAACAGUUGUUAUAGAGGCAGCACAUAAUAGGCCAGGGCUUUAUGUAAGGAAUGAAUAUGAUUGAACCCAUUCUUACUCUGAUGCAGCACUUAUUGAAUGUUUUGAAUAGCAGGACAGAAAUCAAGUACCUCAUGCUGUACUCAUGUUGAAAAGACAGGUCAAAGAGAUCUCCUGGCAGGGGUUAGAAAGGAUGGUCCCCCUACAGGUACAGCAAACGCUAUGUUGGUUUGACUUCCCUGCAGUGAACAAUGCUCCCCCCCCCCAGUCCAGGUAAUGCCAAUGGCUUGUAUGUGACAGUUGUUUCAGUGGCUCUGACAAUACAUUAUAUUGAGCAUCUUAUAGAAUCCUUGAGUUGGUAUAUUAUACUACUUAUAUGAAUAUUUUUUAUCAAAUGCUGUCUAUCCCUUAGAAUCUACUAACAUGUUAUACAAGGCAACUUUACUGAUUAAUUGAUUGAUUAAUUGGGACAAGGCUCGAAUUUAAAAAGACAUGUCAACUUGUAUCUGCUUUAGAUUGGCACAUGUUGACUUUAGAGGAAGGUGGUUAGAUGGAUUCAGAUGCUAAACUUCUCCAAUACCGUAUUCAAAUAAGUCAAAUAAAUCUGAUUUGUGUUUAAAUUCAUUAAUUCAUUUGUUUUGGGUUAUAGAAUAUAUAAAUCAUGAAUUACCUUGAUCCAUGCCAGCAUGCAAUAACUUUACAUUUUGAAACGAGAGUCAUGCAAUUGCAUAGGACAGACUACAUCAUACAUCUGCAUCAUAACUGCACACACAUGCAAGUAAUUACCUUCCCUGGUGUAAAUCAAUACUGAAAAGUUGUUUCACUCAUGCAUGAAUUAGGCUUGCGUCUCAUGCACUAGGAGUAGACUGUGACCGUAUUUCCCAUCAUUAUUUCGGCACCUAGUAAAUUUUAGGUCUGUAGAGCGCUAACUUGAACAUUGAAAAUCUACAAUAGCAGCCAGUGUGUGGUAUUCAAUGACAUUCCAUGACUUUUGAAAAACAAAUAGCAUG
Long non-coding RNA from Oncorhynchus kisutch (coho salmon), 5109 nucleotides. RefSeq lists it as uncharacterized. The record is from RefSeq and is a predicted model, not a curated record. Lineage: Eukaryota; Metazoa; Chordata; Actinopteri; Salmoniformes; Salmonidae. The transcript has 3 exons.